UACGUAGGGGGCAAGCGUUGUUCGGAAUUACUGGGCGUAAAGCGCGUGUAGGCGGUCUGGCAAGUCAGAUGUGAAAGCCCCGGGCUCAACUUGGGAACUGCAUUUGAUACUGCUAAGCUAGAGUACAGAAGAGGUGACUGGAAUUCCCAGUGUAGCGGUGAAAUGCGUAGAUAUUGGGAGGAACACCAGAUGCGAAGGCGGGUCACUGGGCUGAUACUGACGCUAAAGCGCGAAAGCCAGGGGAGCGAACGGG
This 253-nucleotide ribosomal RNA is filed under the name uncultured bacterium. Its description in RNAcentral is "partial 16S ribosomal RNA". It matches the Rfam family "Bacterial small subunit ribosomal RNA", at positions 524 to 776 of the family's 1533-position model. The record is from RNAcentral.